UGUAAGGGCUUUUGCCUGCUAUCUCUUACCCAUGUCUUUUGAGUACCUUACGUUUCCUCGGUGGGUUCGCCCACCGAUUGGACAAAUUUAAACCCUUUGCAGUUGAAAUCAGCGUCUGAAAAAACUUAAUAGUUACAACUUUCAACAACGGAUCUCUUGGUUCUGGCAUCGAUGAAGAACGCAGCGAAAUGCGAUAAGUAGUGUGAAUUGCAGAAUUCAGUGAAUCAUCGAAUCUUUGAACGCACAUUGCGCCCCUUGGUAUUCCAUGGGGCAUGCCUGUUCGAGCGUCAUUUGUACCUUCAAGCUCUGCUUGGUGUUGGGUGUUUGUCUCCUGUAGACUCGCCUUAAAACAAUUGGCAGCCGGCGUAUUGAUUUCGGAGCGCAGUACAUCUCGCGCUUUGCACUCAUAACGACGACAUCCAAAAGUACAUUUUUACACUCUUGACCUCGGAUCAGGUAGGGAUACCCGCUGAACUUAAGCAUAUCAAUAAGCGGAGGAAGGAU
Molecule: ribosomal RNA, 504 nt
Filed under: Phoma herbarum
Lineage: Eukaryota; Fungi; Ascomycota; Dothideomycetes; Pleosporales; Didymellaceae
Description: eukaryotic LSU rRNA
Rfam family: 5.8S ribosomal RNA (bases 137-290)
Source: RNAcentral